CGAACAAAGAAGUUGUGAGCCUCGAAUGUAUAGUCAAAAGUGACUCAAGUGUCUAACAAAAUGUGUACUUUGUUGAGGACUCUAGAGGAGUUGAGCCUCGAUUACGGGAGGCUCUAUAGUGUACUUUGUUCGAGAGGAGGAUUGUUGGGAGGGAGUCGCACAUUGGCAAAUUUAGGAAUUGAUCAUGGGUUUAUAAGGAAAUAUAUCUUCUUUGGUAUGAAGUCUUUUGGGAAAGCCUAAAGCAAAGUCAUGAGAGCUUAUGCUCAAAGUGGACAAUAUCAUACCAUUGUGAAGAGUCGUAAUUCCUAACACUGUUUACUGAGUACUUGUGGAACAUUCUUUACACUCCUCUCACGUUCUCUCUCUCUCUCGUGCCCCUUUUGUUUGUUUCUUAGAAAAUAUAUGAUUCUUAUUGUGAAUGAAUUUGGAAACAUGACAUUUUCCUCUGUUACAAUUCAUCCUUGUUUAUGUUUCCUUGUAAUCAGAAUCUCUCCCAGCUUGCAUCCAUCAACUAUGACCUGCUUUCUAAGGGUUUGAAGGAUGAUCCUCCUGAUCACGAUGCAUAACUGUGUUAAUCCUCGCACGUCUGCCAAAUGCUUUCUGGCUAUUGGUUCGAUGUUCUUCCCUGUUUUGUAUCUGCAAUGUUCUGUACAUAGACAGAAAAGUUUUAGAAGCUAAAGCUGGUUUGUGAUGCUCUCUUUCAAAUUACAGACGCCAUCUUCAAACCAGGUGGCUUUCGACCUUCGUUUUCCUGUUCACUGUGUUUCUCUUCCUUCUCUCCACCCUCAAAUGAGUUCAGAACUUGAAAAAUUCCAUUGCUUAAAUGGUUCCCUUAACGUGUAUACCUGUUUUCUUAGACAAUCCAUACAUUUAUGUAUUCAUAAUAUAUAUUAUAUAUCAAGGAGAAGCAUCAUUGUGUACA
Molecule: non-coding RNA, 922 nt
Organism: Cucurbita pepo subsp. pepo (vegetable marrow)
Lineage: Eukaryota; Viridiplantae; Streptophyta; Magnoliopsida; Cucurbitales; Cucurbitaceae
Source: RefSeq, a predicted model, not a curated record